RNAcentral lists this ribosomal RNA (468 nucleotides) under uncultured bacterium. Its description in RNAcentral is "partial 16S ribosomal RNA". It matches the Rfam family "Bacterial small subunit ribosomal RNA", at positions 28 to 507 of the family's 1533-position model. The record is from RNAcentral.
GACGAACGCUGGCGGCGUGCUUAACACAUGCAAGUCGAACGGAAAGGCCCUGCUUUUGUGGGGCGCUCGAGUGGCGAACGGGUGAGUAACACGUGAGUAACCUGCCCUUGACUUUGGGAUAACUUCAGGAAACUGGGGCUAAUACCGGAUAGGAGCUCCUGCUGCAUGGUGGGGGUUGGAAAGUUUCGGCGGUUGGGGAUGGACUCGCGGCUUAUCAGCUUGUUGGUGGGGUAGUGGCUUACCAAGGCUUUGACGGGUAGCCGGCCUGAGAGGGUGACCGGCAACAUUGGGACUGAGAUACGGCCCAGACUCCUACGGGAGGCAGCAGUGGGGAAUAUUGCACAAUGGGCGGAAGCCUGAUGCAGCAACGCCGCGUGCGGGAUGACGGCCUUCGGGUUGUAAACCGCUUUCGCCUGGGACGAAGCGUGAGUGACGGUAAUGGGUAAAGAAGCACCGGCUAACUACGUG